UACGUAGGGGGCGAGCGUUGUCCGGAAUCACUGGGCGUAAAGCGCACGUAGGCGGCUUGUUAAGUCAGGGGUGAAAUCCUGGAGCUCAACUCCAGAACUGCCUUUGAUACUGGCGAGCUUGAGUUCGGGAGAGGUGAGUGGAACUGCGAGUGUAGAGGUGAAAUUCGUAGAUAUUCGCAAGAACACCAGUGGCGAAGGCGGCUCACUGGCCCGGUACUGACGCUGAGGUGCGAAAGCGUGGGGAGCAAACAGG
Molecule: ribosomal RNA, 253 nt
Filed under: uncultured bacterium
Lineage: Bacteria
Description: partial 16S ribosomal RNA
Rfam family: Bacterial small subunit ribosomal RNA
Source: RNAcentral